This 468-nucleotide ribosomal RNA is filed under the name uncultured bacterium. Its description in RNAcentral is "partial 16S ribosomal RNA". It matches the Rfam family "Bacterial small subunit ribosomal RNA", at positions 28 to 507 of the family's 1533-position model. The record is from RNAcentral.
GACGAACGCUGGCGGCGAGCUUAACACAUGCAAGUCGAACGGAAAGGCCCUGCCUUUGUGGGGUGCUCGAGUGGCGAACGGGUGAGUAACACGUGAGUAACCUGCCCUUGACUUUGGGAUAACUUCAGGAAGCUGGGGCUAAUACCGGAUAGGAGCUCCUGCUGCAUGGUGGGGGUUGGAAAGUUUCGGCGGUUGGGGAUGGACUCGCGGCUUAUCAGCUUGUUGGUGGGGUAGUGGCUUACCAAGGCUUUGACGGGUAGCCGGCCUGAGAGGGUGACCGGCCACAUUGGGACUGAGAUACGGCCCAGACUCCUACGGGAGGCAGCAGUGGGGAAUAUUGCACAAUGGGCGGAAGCCUGAUGCAGCAACGCCGCGUGCGGGAUGACGGCCUUCGGGUUGUAAACCGCUUUCGCCUGUGACGAAGCGUGAGUGACGGUAAUGGGUAAAGAAGCACCGGCUAACUACGUG